Molecule: transfer RNA, 73 nt
Filed under: Zootermopsis nevadensis
Lineage: Eukaryota; Metazoa; Arthropoda; Insecta; Blattodea; Termopsidae
Rfam family: tRNA
About the family: Transfer RNA (tRNA) molecules are approximately 80 nucleotides in length.
Source: Rfam by way of RNAcentral
GCCACGGUGGUCUAGCGGUUAGAACGCUGGCCUUGUAAUCCUGGAGUCUUGGGUUCGAUUCCCGGCGGUGCCC